Molecule: ribosomal RNA, 331 nt
Filed under: uncultured bacterium
Lineage: Bacteria
Description: bacterial SSU rRNA
Rfam family: Bacterial small subunit ribosomal RNA
Source: RNAcentral
CGCGUAGGCGGUGCGCUAAGUCAGAUGUGAAAGCCCUGGGCUCAACCCGGGAAUUGCAUUUGAUACUGGCGCGCCCGAAUCCGGGAGAGGUUGGUGGAAUUCCCAGUGUAGAGGUGAAAUUCGUAGAGAUUGGGAAGAACACCGGUGGCGAAGGCGGCCAACUGGACCGGUAUUGACGCUGAUGCGCGAAAGCGUGGGGAGCAAACAGGAUUAGAUACCCUGGUAGUCCACGCCGUAAACGAUGUGUGCUAGCCGUUGGGGCUCUUAGAGCUUCGGUGGCGUCGCUAACGCAUUAAGCACACCGCCUGGGGAGUACGGUCGCAAGAUUAAA